RNAcentral lists this non-coding RNA (88 nucleotides) under Veillonella magna. RNAcentral describes it as "SAM riboswitch (S box leader)". It matches the Rfam family "SAM riboswitch aptamer (S box leader)". Rfam says of the family: The SAM riboswitch is found upstream of a number of genes which code for proteins involved in methionine or cysteine biosynthesis in Gram-positive bacteria. The SAM riboswitch acts at the level of transcription termination control. The record is from RNAcentral. Lineage: Bacteria; Bacillati; Bacillota; Negativicutes; Veillonellales; Veillonellaceae.
UUUUAUCGAGAGCGAUGGAGGGACUGGCCCUAUGAAAUCCGGCAACCAUUCGAUGGUGCUAAUUCCUGCGGUGUAGACCGAGAGAUAA